Molecule: ribosomal RNA, 395 nt
Filed under: uncultured bacterium
Lineage: Bacteria
Description: partial 16S ribosomal RNA
Rfam family: Bacterial small subunit ribosomal RNA
Source: RNAcentral
AUACGUAGGGUGCAAGCGUUAAUCGGAAUUACUGGGCGUAAAGCGUGCGCAGGCGGUUUUGUAAGACAGAGGUGAAAUCCCCGGGCCCAACCUGGGAACUGCCUUUGUGGCUGCAAGGACUGAGGACGGCCGAGGGGGGUGGAAUUCCGCCUGGAACAGGGGAAUGCGUAGAUAUGCGGAGGAACACCGCUGGCGAAGGCAAUCCCCUGGGCCUGUACUGACGCUCAUGCACGAAAGCGUGGGGAGCAAACAGGACUAGAUACCCUGGUAGUCCACGCCCUAAACGAUGUCAACUGGUUGUUGGGUCUUCAUUGACUCAGUAACGAAGCUAACGCGUGAAGUUGACCGCCUGGGGAGUACGGCCGCAAGGUUGAAACUCAAAUGAAUUGACGGGG